UACGAAGGGGGCUAGCGUUGUUCGGAUUUACUGGGCGUAAAGCGUACGUAGGCGGACUAUUAAGUCAGGGGUGAAAUCCCGGGGCUCAACCCCGGAACUGCCUUUGAUACUGGUAGUCUUGAGUUCGAGAGAGGUGAGUGGAAUUCCGAGUGUAGAGGUGAAAUUCGUAGAUAUUCGGAGGAACACCAGUGGCGAAGGCGGCUCACUGGCUCGAUACUGACGCUGAGGUGCGAAAGCGUGGGGAGCAAACAGG
This 253-nucleotide ribosomal RNA is filed under the name uncultured bacterium. RNAcentral describes it as "partial 16S ribosomal RNA". It matches the Rfam family "Bacterial small subunit ribosomal RNA", at positions 524 to 776 of the family's 1533-position model. The record is from RNAcentral.